GUUUGUAAAUCAUUGUUUAAUUUGUUUUGGAAUCUGAAGUGGUAAAUAUUUAAAAAUGAAUUUCAUGAAAACUAAUAUUUGACCAUUGUUUGUAUUAUGAGGCAGAAGGAUUACUAAUAAGAGCUGUGGUGGCACAGUGGUUAGAAUGCAGUACUGCAGGCUAACUCUCUGCUCACUUCUAAGAGUUCAAUAUUGACCGGUUGACUCAGCCUUCCAUCAUUCCAUCAUUCCGAGGUCCUGAUAGCACAGUCAUGAACUUGACAACACCUGGAAGCAAAGAACAGAGCCACAAUUGUGCGGCCAAGGAUAUGAAUUGUGGCGUUUGAUAUCUUUUGAUGCUUGGAAAUGUGACACGAAAUAUGUCACAGUGAACCAUCUGAAUUUAAAUUUUCUUCAGACAAGCUUAAGCAAUAACUAUUGCUGGGUGAAUCUUGUAAAAAGGAGUGAAGCUUAUGAGCAAUCAAUCUAGGGCUCCUGAAAAUACACAAUAUUAUGAUGUCAAAGAUUCUUCCAGAUGUGCUCUAAAAUGGAUAGACAUUUCAGACUGCAGUAUCAAGACCUUGAUCUUGAUUCUGGAGGCAGAAGAGACGGACAAUCUGCUAAGGAGUGUGAAGAACUAAAAUUAGGCCCUCAUAAGCACCAGCUCUGAACCUUAAAAGGUAACUUCUAUUCUCCUAUGCUGCCAUCUCUGCUCAAUGUCUUCCAGGCCUGGUCAUUCACUUUUUAAAAGUCUUAAUUCUUUGAACAGACGAUGGUGCCUUGAGAAUAUCUUACUGUACAUUGAAGCAGAAAUUUGUCAUGUCUUAUAGAUCACCUCUAGCCCUCCUUAAAGAAAGUUCCUCACUGGGAGCUAUCCACAGUGCUGCAACCACCAGCCCUGUGGAUACCAAUUAUACACAGAAUAUAACAAGAGGUGGAUGACCAUAUCUUUGAAUACCAUGUGCGCACACACAUGUGCACACCCACACCCACACACGUUUUUCUUCCUGCAAAUAGAAAUAGUACAGUUAGGGUGGCUGCAUAAAGCCUGAUGUGUUAUUUUACUAUAUCCAGAGUCCUUUUAUUUCAAUAUUUAUCUACCAUGCUUAGAAUUCUGAAAUACAUAUUGAGAAAAAAAUGAUUGCUCAGUGAAUUUGAAAUGGACUAGAGUUGUUCUUCAAAAACACUUUAUAUGAUUCCACUGUGCUUGAUUAGGAAUGUUUCCCAAACUAAAUCCAAAUAACUGCAUAAUUAUUUUAAUCAAUUUUGGUGACUUAAAACAAUCUCCUAUUGAGUCUGGGUAUAAUUGAUAGUGAUAGUGUUAACCUAUAAAGAUAUUUAUGACUUGGCACUAAGUACCUUCAAAACCAGAUAUGCCUAGUACUUGACUUCCGGUUUGCCGCACAGCCGCCAUGGACAGCUGGGAGACUUGCUCUCUCUCCCCCGUUCAGUUUUGGAUCGCUGGGGGGCCCCUGAAAAGGGCCAAAAGUCACCCCAAAGAGGCAACCAGCAAGGAGGGGCUCUCACUGGAUCGCAGGAGAACAGCAACUCUCCUGGUGGAGCUGGCGAUCCCUCCAAUCAGUGGAUGAAAGGACCGGCCAUAGAAAUAUGGCUCGUCCCUAAGCUGCAGAUAGCCAAAGUCACACUACCAUCUGGCAACUUCAAAGCAGCAUGGAAAGGACUGGGUGAAAUCUACCUCUCUUAAAUCCUAAUUGCUUUUUUCUACCUAUUCAAGCUGCUAGAGUACUUUUCCCCCUGUAGAGAGGGAAGGGGGAUUUUAGCCCUUCCUCUAGAAACAGUGGUGAUCGAAUAUACAGGGGAGUUUUGAAAAUGUUGAAAAAAUAAUUGGAUCCCAAUUGGAACUUUAUUUCCUAAAGCUUGCGCAUUAAAAGAUUUUUUAUUUUUUACUUUUUUCUUUCUAUUUGAAAGUCUGGGUUUUUCCUCUUAAAAUAGAAGAAAAUAACUGAAAAGGUUAAAAUAACUUUGAAAUUUAAAGGAAUUCCUUAAACAGUGGGGUGACAUCUUGUGGCUAAACCUGAAAUUGCAAUUUAUUAUUUUAAAGAAUAGAGACUUGGCUGACAGUUCAGAAAACAAGAUAAGAUUCGUAUGACUUUGAACACCAGCUGUGAGAUUUUUAGCUCUGUUUCUUAUUUACUGGGGGGGGGGACUGUAAAAGUUUUCAGUUCAACUCAUCACUAUGGAAGACCAGGAACAGAUCUUUUCUAUGGAAGAAAUGCAAAAACAAAUUUUUGCUAUAUUGAAAAUAACUUACCAAAACUCUUCUUACAGCUGGUGAUGAAAUAAGAGCCUUCGGAAAAAAACCCAAAAGCAUCUUAGAUAUGCAAACUCAAACUUUGACUAUAACUAAAAACCUGUUGUACAGAAUACAACAGAAAAAAAUCAAACAAUUAAAUAUUAUCACAGAAGACCUAACUGCCCAACAAGUACAGACAAUAGAAAAUUCAGAAAAAAAUCUGACAACUUGGACAGAGGAAAAAAAACUGCUAAAUAAAUCAGAAGGAAUUUGAAGAUCAAGAAGAGAAACAGAUGGAAGAAAAGAUAAACAGUUCAGGACAACUACGUCAAGAGGAGAAAAUAAAGAGAUGAUCUGGUAGUCCUGCCAGACCCUCAGCCUUCCAAAAAUGGCAACUGGAUGGUCAUCUCAAUAUGACAUAAUAUAUACAAUAAUACAAGAAUUCUUUGAGAACCCUGAAGCAAGGACAUGGAAGAUGAUUUGGCAAAGAAAAAAAGCCAGAAUAAGACUGAAGAAGAAUGGAAUGUGGACAUAUUUAGGAGGUUUAAAAUAGAAUAUACUUAAGUAGACAAGACCCGUAUUUUGAAUACAAGAUAUUGUUAUGAUGUGAAGAUAAAGAAAAAUGUUGGCUAAUUAAAACCUAGAUGCAUAAAUAUCAACAAUUAAACUGAAAUAUUGAGUUGUUUAUAAAGGUUAGAUAAAGGUGAUUAAGACAUAUACUGGAUAUGUUAAGAGUGAUGUAACGUAAUUAACAUGUUUUGAUGUAGUGAUAAGAAUAAAAAUUAUAAGCUUAAAUGUGAGAAAGUGGACCUAAGGAAGAAUGCUGAAAUGGGAGAAAUUUUGGUUAUUGAAUCUAUAAUAUUUGGAAAUUAUAAUGAAAAUAAGAAUAUUAUAUUGUAUUACUAAUCUGUUGAUAUAGAAGUGAGAUAGAUAAGAUAUGUAUCUGGAACACUAGAUAUUGGGGGGAAUUGUGACAAAGGGAAUUGGGGUCAUUUAAAAAUUUGGAAAUGAUAAAUAUUAAACAUUUAAUUUAAAUAUCAACGCAAAAUUAAAGCUGGGAAAAUUCAUAAGGUUAUUGAUAGUCCAAAAAAUGGAAUGUUAAAAUAAAUAAGACAUAUAAAAUUAUUGAUAAAUGUAAGAAAGCUAUUAAGUAGCUGAUGGCUAGAAUAAGAAGUAUACUAAUUUAAACAAGAGACAGUAUUAAGGGAAAAAACAGGAAAUAUUGGCUGUAAUAGUUGGAGAUUUGUAUUAAUAAUACUUGUAUGUAAUGGAAUUAUUGUAACUCAGACUCCACGUUGCUUUUCAAUGAUAUAAUUGUAACAUUGGAAAAUUAAUUAAAAGUUA
Molecule: long non-coding RNA, 3577 nt
Organism: Crotalus tigris (Tiger rattlesnake)
Lineage: Eukaryota; Metazoa; Chordata; Lepidosauria; Squamata; Viperidae
Exons: 4
Source: RefSeq, a predicted model, not a curated record